GACGUAGGGGGCCAGCGUUGUUCGGAAUUACUGGGUGUAAAGGGUUCGUAGGCGGUGUGGCAAGACAGAUGUGAAAUCCCCGGGCUCAACCUGGGAACUGCAUUUGUGACUGCAUGGCUGGAGUGCGGCAGAGGGGGAUGGAAUUCCGCGUGUAGCAGUGAAAUGCGUAGAUAUGCGGAGGAACACCGAUGGCGAAGGCAAUCCCCUGGGCCUGCACUGACGCUCAUGCACGAAAGCGUGGGGAGCAAACAGG
This 253-nucleotide ribosomal RNA is filed under the name uncultured bacterium. Its description in RNAcentral is "partial 16S ribosomal RNA". It matches the Rfam family "Bacterial small subunit ribosomal RNA", at positions 524 to 776 of the family's 1533-position model. The record is from RNAcentral.